UCGAACGGUAACGCGGGGGCAACCCUGGCGACGAGUGGCGAACGGGUGAGUAAUACAUCGGAACGUGUCCUGGAGUGGGGGAUAGCUCGGCGAAAGCCGGAUUAAUACCGCAUACGCUCUGAGGAGGAAAGCAGGGUGACCGCAAGGCCUUGCGCGAGAGGAGCGGCCGAUGCCGGAUUAGCUAGUUGGUGGGGUAAAGGCCUACCAAGGCGACGAUCCGUAGCUGGUCUGAGAGGACGACCAGCCACACUGGGACUGAGACACGGCCCAGACUCCUACGGGAGGCAGCAGUGGGGAAUUUUGGACAAUGGGGGAAACCCUGAUCCAGCCAUGCCGCGUGUGUGAAGAAGGCCUUCGGGUUGUAAAGCACUUUCGGACGGAACGAAAUCGCGCUGGUGAAUAUCCAGCGUGGAUGACGGUACCGUAAGGAGAAGCACCGGCUAACUACGUGCCAGCAGCCGCGGUAAUACGUAGGGUGCGAGCGUUAAUCGGAAUUACUGGGCGUAAAGUGUGCGCAGGCGGCGUCGCAAGUCGAGUGUGAAAUCCCCGGGCUUAACUUGGGAAUUGCGCUCGAAACUACGGUGCUGGAGUAUGGCAGAGGAAGGUGGAAUUCCACGUGUAGCGGUG
RNAcentral lists this ribosomal RNA (627 nucleotides) under uncultured bacterium. Its description in RNAcentral is "bacterial SSU rRNA". It matches the Rfam family "Bacterial small subunit ribosomal RNA", at positions 62 to 683 of the family's 1533-position model. The record is from RNAcentral.